AGUCGUCAGGAUGCGCCGUUUGGUGUGCGGAGAAAAGACGCUGCCGAAGGUGACUGCGAAGGCAUCACGCAGGAGGCGGGGUCACGCCAGCAGGAGGAUAAGGCGACUUGGAGGCGGGGCCCGGCGUGGAAAGCGAGAGCGCGACUGUCAGACAUGCGGACUCCGGCGCGGUGAUGGAUGAUGUUAUCAGGUGACCACAGAUGACUC
Entelurus aequoreus (snake pipefish) is the source of this 207-nucleotide long non-coding RNA. RefSeq lists it as uncharacterized. The transcript is spliced from 3 exons. NCBI's taxonomy places the organism in Eukaryota, Metazoa, Chordata, Actinopteri, Syngnathiformes, Syngnathidae. The record is from RefSeq and is a predicted model, not a curated record.